Molecule: ribosomal RNA, 470 nt
Filed under: uncultured Pseudomonadota bacterium
Lineage: Bacteria; Pseudomonadati; Pseudomonadota
Description: bacterial SSU rRNA
Rfam family: Bacterial small subunit ribosomal RNA
Source: RNAcentral
AGAGUUUGAUCAUGGCUCAGAGCGAACGCUGGCGGCAGGCUUAACACAUGCAAGUCGAGCGGGCGUAGCAAUACGUCAGCGGCAGACGGGUGAGUAACGCGUGGGAACGUACCUUUUGGUUCGGAACAACACAGGGAAACUUGUGCUAAUACCGAAUAAGCCCUUACGGGGAAAGAUUUAUCGCCGAAAGAUCGGCCCGCGUCUGAUUAGCUAGUUGGUGAGGUAAUGGCUCACCAAGGCGACGAUCAGUAGCUGGUCUGAGAGGAUGAUCAGCCACAUUGGGACUGAGACACGGCCCAAACUCCUACGGGAGGCAGCAGUGGGGAAUAUUGGACAAUGGGCGCAAGCCUGAUCCAGCCAUGCCGCGUGAGUGAUGAAGGCCCUAGGGUUGUAAAGCUCUUUUGUGCGGGAGGAUAAUGGCGGUACCGCAAGAAUAAGCCCCGGCUAACUUCAUGCCAGCAGCCGCGGUA